AGAGUUUGAUCCUGGCUCAGGAUGAACGCUGGCGGCGUGCCUAAUACAUGCAAGUCGAGCGAACGGACGAGAAGCUUGCUUCUCUGAUGUUAGCGGCGGACGGGUGAGUAACACGUGGAUAACCUACCUAUAAGACUGGGAUAACUUCGGGAAACCGGAGCUAAUACCGGAUAAUAUUUUGAACCGCAUGGUUCAAAAGUGAAAGACGGUCUUGCUGUCACUUAUAGAUGGAUCCGCGCUGCAUUAGCUAGUUGGUAAGGUAACGGCUUACCAAGGCAACGAUGCAUAGCCGACCUGAGAGGGUGAUCGGCCACACUGGAACUGAGACACGGUCCAGACUCCUACGGGAGGCAGCAGUAGGGAAUCUUCCGCAAUGGGCGAAAGCCUGACGGAGCAACGCCGCGUGAGUGAUGAAGGUCUUCGGAUCGUAAAACUCUGUUAUUAGGGAAGAACAUAUGUGUAAGUAACUGUGCACAUCUUGACGGUACCUAAUCAGAAAGCCACGGCUAACUACGUGCCAGCAGCCGCGGUAAUACGUAGGUGGCAAGCGUUAUCCGGAAUUAUUGGGCGUAAAGCGCGCGUAGGCGGUUUUUUAAGUCUGAUGUGAAAGCCCACGGCUCAACCGUGGAGGGUCAUUGGAAACUGGAAAACUUGAGUGCAGAAGAGGAAAGUGGAAUUCCAUGUGUAGCGGUGAAAUGCGCAGAGAUAUGGAGGAACACCAGUGGCGAAGGCGACUUUCUGGUCUGUAACUGACGCUGAUGUGCGAAAGCGUGGGGAUCAAACAGGAUUAGAUACCCUGGUAGUCCACGCCGUAAACGAUGAGUGCUAAGUGUUAGGGGGUUUCCGCCCCUUAGUGCUGCAGCUAACGCAUUAAGCACUCCGCCUGGGGAGUACGACCGCAAGGUUGAAACUCAAAGGAAUUGACGGGGACCCGCACAAGCGGUGGAGCAUGUGGUUUAAUUCGAAGCAACGCGAAGAAUCUUACCAAAUCUUGACAUCCUUUGACAACUCUAGAGAUAGAGCUUUCCCCUUCGGGGGACAAAGUGACAGGUGGUGCAUGGUUGUCGUCAGCUCGUGUCGUGAGAUGUUGGGUUAAGUCCCGCAACGAGCGCAACCCUUAAGCU
RNAcentral lists this ribosomal RNA (1124 nucleotides) under Staphylococcus aureus M0440. Its description in RNAcentral is "bacterial SSU rRNA". It matches the Rfam family "Bacterial small subunit ribosomal RNA", at positions 8 to 1111 of the family's 1533-position model. Lineage: Bacteria; Bacillati; Bacillota; Bacilli; Caryophanales; Staphylococcaceae. The record is from RNAcentral.